ACGAACCACCCAAACGUUAUUCGGAAUUACUGGGCUUAAAGGGUGCGUAGGCGGCGCGGAAAGUCAGAUGUGAAAUCCCUCGGCUUAACCGAGGAACUGCGUUUGAAACUACCGUGCUUGAGUAAGACAGAGGUAAGCGGAACUUCGGGUGGAGCGGUGAAAUGCGUUGAUAUCCGAAGGAACACCGGUGGCGAAAGCGGCUUACUGGGUCUUUACUGACGCUGAUGCAUGAAAGCUAGGGGAGCAAACGGGA
Molecule: ribosomal RNA, 253 nt
Filed under: uncultured prokaryote
Description: partial 16S ribosomal RNA
Rfam family: Bacterial small subunit ribosomal RNA
Source: RNAcentral